RNAcentral lists this ribosomal RNA (486 nucleotides) under uncultured bacterium. Its description in RNAcentral is "partial 16S ribosomal RNA". It matches the Rfam family "Bacterial small subunit ribosomal RNA", at positions 28 to 523 of the family's 1533-position model. The record is from RNAcentral.
GACGAACGCUGGCGGCGUGCUUAACACAUGCAAGUCGAACGAUGAAGCCCGAGCUUGCUCUGGUGAAUUAGUGGCGAACGGGUGAGUAACACGUGAGUAACCUGCCCUUGACUCUGGGAUAACUGCGGGAAACUGUAGCUAAUACCGGAUACGACCCUCGGAGGCAUCUCCUGGGGGUGGAAAGAAUUUCGGUCAAGGAUGGACUCGCGGCCUAUCAGCUAGUUGGUGAGGGAAAGGCUCACCAAGGCGACGACGGGUAGCCGGCCUGAGAGGGUGACCGGCCACACUGGGACUGAGACACGGCCCAGACUCCUACGGGAGGCAGCAGUGGGGAAUAUUGCGCAAUGGGCGAAAGCCUGACGCAGCAACGCCGCGUGCGGGAUGAAGGCCUUCGGGUUGUAAACCGCUUUCAGCAGGGAAGAAGCCGCAAGGUGACGGUACCUGCAGAAGAAGCACCGGCUAACUACGUGCCAGCAGCCGCGGUAA